This 72-nucleotide transfer RNA is filed under the name Marmota monax (woodchuck). RNAcentral describes it as "tRNA.Ala". It matches the Rfam family "tRNA". From Rfam's summary of the family: Transfer RNA (tRNA) molecules are approximately 80 nucleotides in length. The record is from RNAcentral. Lineage: Eukaryota; Metazoa; Chordata; Mammalia; Rodentia; Sciuridae.
GAGGGGCUGGGGCUCAGUGGUAGAGCACUUGCCUGGCAUGCAUGCUGCCCAGGUUCGAUCCUCAGCACCACA